AGUAACGCGUGGAUAACCUGCCUCACACAGGGGGAGUAACAGUUAGAAAUGACUGCUAAUACCGCAUAAGCGCACGGCAUCGCAUGAUGCAGUGUGAAAAACUCCGGUGGUGUGAGAUGGAUCCGCGUCUGAUUAGGUAGUUGGUGGGGCAACGGCCCACCAAGCCGACGAUCAGUAGCCGACCUGAGAGGGUGACCGGCCACAUUGGGACUGAGACACGGCCCAAACUCCUACGGGAGGCAGCAUG
This 247-nucleotide ribosomal RNA is filed under the name uncultured bacterium. RNAcentral's name for it is "partial 16S ribosomal RNA". It matches the Rfam family "Bacterial small subunit ribosomal RNA", at positions 109 to 353 of the family's 1533-position model. The record is from RNAcentral.